Molecule: long non-coding RNA, 277 nt
Organism: Zea mays
Lineage: Eukaryota; Viridiplantae; Streptophyta; Magnoliopsida; Poales; Poaceae
Exons: 3
Source: RefSeq, a predicted model, not a curated record
UACAAUUUUGCCUCGCCCUUGUGCCAAUGUGGAAACUAUGGCUGAUGCUUACAUGAUGUCAGUUGCAUGGCCGUACAAGAAACUGAAGUUGGUGCAUAAGGCUGCAACACCGUCUAGUGGAGGGUGUUCUGGACAAAGAAAGAUUGUACCUUAAAACAGGAGGAUACAAGAAGCUGGAGUGGUUGUCUGAAGGCUUUUGAACUGCUUGAAGCAUUAGUGUAGCUUUGGUGCUUUUGUGACUGAUCAGCUCUGGAGCAGCUAGAGUGAUGUAGUUGUG